ACCCGCUGAAUUUAAGCAUAUAAUUAAGGGGAGGAAAAGAAACCAACUCGGAUUCCCCUAGUAACGGCGAGUGAAGCGGGAAGAGCUCAUGUUGUAAAUCUCCAGCUUGCUGGCGAAUUGUAGUCUAAAGGUGCGUGCUCAGUCGUGGUCCCGGGCUAAGUCUGUUGGAAAACAGCAUCAUGGACGGUGACAAUCCGGUUCUUGCCUGGGGUCCCGCGGCGUACGAGCCGUUUCCGACGAGUCGUGUUGCUUGGGAUUGCAGCACUAAGUGGGUGGUAAAUUCCAUCUAAAGCUAAAUAUUGGUGGGAGACCGAUAGCGAACAAGUACCGUGAGGGAAAGAUGAAAAGACUUUUGAAAAGAGAGUAAAAUAGUACCUGAAACUGCUGAAAGGGAAGCGAUUGAAGUCAGUGUUGCUCCUGGUCUUUUUGCCGUCGCCCCCGUGGGGGUUGCGGCGUGGGGCCUGGAGCGUUUCAACAUGCGUUCUGUUCCGCGGGAAAUGUUCAGUGUGCUGGAACUUCGGGGAAACGCACUGUUCUUGUCGUGGUUAGGACGGAGGACCUUUGCUCCUUUGACUGCGCGUUCCUCUCUCGGGUAUGCUGGUGUCUACUGCUUGCAGUUUUCAUUUUCAUGCUUGCGACUGUGCGUGUUAUUCAUGAGCGAACAUGAUGUUGAAGAAAUGGCUUUAAUUACCCCGUCUUGAAACACGGACCAAGG
This 715-nucleotide ribosomal RNA is filed under the name Heterosigma akashiwo. RNAcentral describes it as "LSU rRNA". It matches the Rfam family "Eukaryotic large subunit ribosomal RNA", at positions 23 to 671 of the family's 3401-position model. The record is from RNAcentral. Lineage: Eukaryota; Raphidophyceae; Chattonellales; Chattonellaceae. RNAcentral also lists the same sequence under 1 other name.